RNAcentral lists this ribosomal RNA (453 nucleotides) under uncultured Prevotella sp. Its description in RNAcentral is "partial 16S ribosomal RNA". It matches the Rfam family "Bacterial small subunit ribosomal RNA", at positions 341 to 792 of the family's 1533-position model. Lineage: Bacteria; Pseudomonadati; Bacteroidota; Bacteroidia; Bacteroidales; Prevotellaceae. The record is from RNAcentral.
ACGGGAGGCAGCAGUGAGGAAUAUUGGUCAAUGGACGAGAGUCUGAACCAGCCAAGUAGCGUGCAGGAUGACGGCCCUCCGGGUUGUAAACUGCUUUUAGUUGGGAAUAAAAAAGGCGACGUGUCGCCUAUUGUAUGUACCAUCAGAAAAAGGACCGGCUAAUUCCGUGCCAGCAGCCGCGGUAAUACGGAAGAUGCGAGCGUUAUCCGGAUUUAUUGGGUUUAAAGGGAGCGUAGGCGGGUCUUUAAGUCAGUGGUCAAAGCGUGUGGCUCAACCAUACCACGCCAUUGAUACUGGAGACCUUGAGUGCACAUAAGGAUGGUGGAAUUCGUCGUGUAGCGGUGAAAUGCUUAGAUAUGACGAAGAACUCCGAUUGCGAAGGCAGCUGUCCGGGGUGUAACUGACGCUAAUGCUCGAAAGUGCGGGUAUCAAACAGGAUUAGAUACCCUGGUA